AUUGAACGCUGGCGGCAGGCCUAACACAUGCAAGUCGAACGGUAACAGGAAGCAGCUUGCUGCUUUGCUGACGAGUGGCGGACGGGUGAGUAAUGUCUGGGAAACUGCCUGAUGGAGGGGGAUAACUACUGGAAAUGGUAGCUAAUACCGCAUAACGUCGCAAGACCAAAGAGGGGGACCUUCGGGCCUCUUGCCAUCGGAUGUGCCCAGAUGGGAUUAGCUAGUAGGUGGGGUAACGGCUCACCUAGGCGACGAUCCCUAGCUGGUCUGAGAGGAUGACCAGCCACACUGGAACUGAGACACGGUCCAGACUCCUACGGGAGGCAGCAGUGGGGAAUAUUGCACGAUGGGCGCAAGCCUGAUGCAGCCAUGCCGCGUGUAUGAAGAAGGCCUUCGGGUUGUAAAGUACUUUCAGCGGGGAGGAAGGGAGUAAAGUUAAUACCUUUGCUCAUUGACGUUACCCGCAGAAGAAGCACCGGCUAACUCCGUG
This 490-nucleotide ribosomal RNA is filed under the name uncultured bacterium. RNAcentral describes it as "partial 16S ribosomal RNA". It matches the Rfam family "Bacterial small subunit ribosomal RNA", at positions 30 to 507 of the family's 1533-position model. The record is from RNAcentral.